UGAAUACGAGACGCUAAGGCGUCGAAGUAGUGUAUAUCAGACUUCCAAGAAAAGCUUGCACUGUCAUAGAUAAAAAAUGCCUGUACCAUAACCGACACAGGUGGGUAGGUAGAGUAUACUAAGGGGCGCGAGAUAACUCUCUCUAAGGAACUCGGCAAAAUAACUCCGUAACUUCGGGAGAAGGAGUGCCUUAUUUAUAAGGUUGCAAUAACAAGAUCCAAGCAACUGUUUAUCAAAAACACAGGUCUCCGCUAAGUCGUAAGACGAUGUAUGGGGGCUGACGCCUGCCCAGUGCCAGAAGGUUAAAGAAGUUGGUUAGCAAUUGCGAAGCUGAUAACUGAAGCCCUGGUGAACGGCGGCCGUAACUAUAACGGUCCUAAGGUAGCGAAAUUCCUUGUCGGGUAAGUUCCGACCCGCACGAAAGGCGUAAUGAUUUGGAUACUGUCUCGGAGAGGGGCUCGGUGAAAUAGACUUGUCUGUGAAGAUGCGGACUACCUGCACCAGGACAGAAAGACCCUAUGAAGCUUUACAGUAACUUGAAAUUGAAAUUGGACUUUAUUCGCGCAGCGUAGGUGGGAGGCGUUGAUUAUAAUCUUGCGGGAUUAUUGGAGCCAUCAGUGAGAUACCACUCUUGUAAUGUUAGAUUUCUAACUUUGAAUCAUUAUCUGGUCAAAGAACAGUUUCAGGCGGGCAGUUUGACUGGGGCGGUCGCCUCCUAAAUGGUAACGGAGGCGUACAAAGGUUUCCUCUGAACGGUUAGAAAUCGUAUCUAGAGUGUAAAGGCAUAAGGAAGCUUGACUGUGAGACCUACAAGUCGAGCAGGGACGAAAGUCGGUCUUAGUGAUCUGACGGUACUGAGUGGAAAGGCCGUCACUCAACGGAUAAAAGUUACUCUAAGGAUAACAGGCUGAUCUCCCCCAAGAGUUCACAUCGACGGGGAGGUUUGGCACCUCGAUGUCGGCUCAUCGCAUCCUGGGGCGGUAGUACGUCCCAAGGGUUGGGCUGUUCGCCCAUGAAAGCGGUACGCGAGCUGGGUUCAGAACGUCGUGAGACAGUUCGGUCCAUAUCCGGUGUAGGCGUUAGAAUAUUGAGAGGAGCCUUCUUUAGUACGAGAGGACCGAGAAGGACAUACCUCUGGUGUACCAGUUAUCGUGCCAACGGUAAACGCUGGGUAGCUAUGCAUGGAGUGGAUAACCGCUGAAAGCAUCUAA
RNAcentral lists this ribosomal RNA (1211 nucleotides) under metagenome. RNAcentral's name for it is "bacterial LSU rRNA". It matches the Rfam family "Bacterial large subunit ribosomal RNA", at positions 1564 to 2784 of the family's 2925-position model. The record is from RNAcentral.